CUCCUGUAGUUCAGUCGGUAGAACGGCGGACUGUUAAUCCGCAUAUCGCAAGUUUGAGUCUUGCAAGGAGAG
RNAcentral lists this transfer RNA (72 nucleotides) under Vibrio metschnikovii. RNAcentral's name for it is "tRNA-Asn". It matches the Rfam family "tRNA". Rfam says of the family: Transfer RNA (tRNA) molecules are approximately 80 nucleotides in length. Their secondary structure includes four short double-helical elements and three loops (D, anti-codon, and T loops). Further hydrogen bonds mediate the characteristic L-shaped molecular structure. tRNAs have two regions of fundamental functional importance: the anti-codon, which is responsible for specific mRNA codon recognition, and the 3' end, to which the tRNAs corresponding amino acid is attached (by aminoacyl-tRNA synthetases). tRNAs cope with the degeneracy of the genetic code in two manners: having more than one tRNA (with a specific anti-codon) for a particular amino acid; and 'wobble' base-pairing, i.e. permitting non-standard base-pairing at the 3rd anti-codon position. The record is from RNAcentral. Lineage: Bacteria; Pseudomonadati; Pseudomonadota; Gammaproteobacteria; Vibrionales; Vibrionaceae.